ACUCCUACGGGAGGCAACAGUGGGGAAUAUUGGACAAUGGACCAAAAGUCUGAUCCAGCAAUUCUGUGUGUUUGAUGAAGGCCUUCGGGUUGUAAAGAACUUUCAGGUGGGGAAGAAGCAAGUGACGGUACCCACAGAAGAAGCGACGGCUAAAUACGUGCCAGCAGCCGCGGUAAUACGUAUGUCGCAAGCGUUAUCCGGAAUUAUUGGGCAUAAAGGGCGUCUAGGCGGUCUAAUAAGUCUGAUGUGAAAAUGCGGGGCUCAACUCCGUAUUGCGUUGGAAACUGUUAGACUAGAGUUUUGGAGAGGUAGGCGGAACUACAAGUGUAGAGGUGAAAUUCGUAGAGAUUUGUAGGAAUGCCGAUGACGAAGGUAGCUUACUGGACAAAUACUGACGCUG
This 400-nucleotide ribosomal RNA is filed under the name uncultured bacterium. Its description in RNAcentral is "bacterial SSU rRNA". It matches the Rfam family "Bacterial small subunit ribosomal RNA", at positions 335 to 748 of the family's 1533-position model. The record is from RNAcentral.